GCCAGCGUAGCUCAGUUGGUAGAGCAUCUCACUCGUAACGAGAAGGUCGUCGGUUCAAUCCCGACCGCUGGCUCAA
RNAcentral lists this transfer RNA (76 nucleotides) under Candidatus Adlerbacteria bacterium RIFCSPLOWO2_01_FULL_54_21b. Its description in RNAcentral is "tRNA-Thr". It matches the Rfam family "tRNA". Rfam says of the family: Transfer RNA (tRNA) molecules are approximately 80 nucleotides in length. Their secondary structure includes four short double-helical elements and three loops (D, anti-codon, and T loops). Further hydrogen bonds mediate the characteristic L-shaped molecular structure. tRNAs have two regions of fundamental functional importance: the anti-codon, which is responsible for specific mRNA codon recognition, and the 3' end, to which the tRNAs corresponding amino acid is attached (by aminoacyl-tRNA synthetases). tRNAs cope with the degeneracy of the genetic code in two manners: having more than one tRNA (with a specific anti-codon) for a particular amino acid; and 'wobble' base-pairing, i.e. permitting non-standard base-pairing at the 3rd anti-codon position. The record is from RNAcentral. Lineage: Bacteria; Candidatus Adleribacteriota.